This 253-nucleotide ribosomal RNA is filed under the name uncultured bacterium. Its description in RNAcentral is "partial 16S ribosomal RNA". It matches the Rfam family "Bacterial small subunit ribosomal RNA", at positions 524 to 776 of the family's 1533-position model. The record is from RNAcentral.
UACGAAGGGGGCUAGCGUUGUUCGGAAUUACUGGGCGUAAAGGGCUCGUAGGUGGCCAACUAAGUCGGACGUGAAAUCCCUCAGCUUAACUGGGGAACUGCGUCCGAUACUGGAUGGCUCGAGUUCGGGAGAGGGAUGCGGAAUUCCAGGUGUAGCGGUGAAAUGCGUAGAUAUCUGGAGGAACACCGGUGGCGAAGGCGGCAUCCUGGACCAACACUGACACUGAGGAGCGAAAGCCAGGGGAGCAAACGGG